Molecule: long non-coding RNA, 576 nt
Filed under: Mustela putorius furo (domestic ferret)
Lineage: Eukaryota; Metazoa; Chordata; Mammalia; Carnivora; Mustelidae
Description: lncRNA (ENSMPUG00000028733.1)
Source: RNAcentral
GUUACAGUAGUUAGCUUUGGCUUGUGCAAGAAGAGAGAAAAAAGGCUGUAAAACCUUCCUAUAUUCCUCUGAAAAUAAUUCAAAAGUAAGAAGGGAGAAAAGAAGCCUUGGAAUUAUGCCAAGUGGAGGAGAACUGAAGAAGUCUGUCAGCGAGCCCUCAGGCUUCAUGAGGAGUUUCAACUGUUUUUUCCAAAGUCCUGUGCCUCGUUUUCCCCACGUAGAGAAGGAAGUAGUAAUCAGUAGCAUUUCUUCCUAAGUCAUCAUCAGUAACCUGAAAGAAGAGGCAUCCAAAAUGGACAUAAGCAGAGAAGUUGCCACUUGUUGGAGGCACAGAAGAUACAGAGCAGCACAGUGAAAAGCAUCCUUUUCAAGGGAGCCUGUUCAAAGGUCUUGUAAGAAAGUGUCACCUGUGUCAUGUCUUCAAAUGGGAGCCACCACCACAGCUGCUAAGAAGGGUUUUCCUCCAUCGGCUAGCCUCCAGGGCCACAGUCAGUAGUCAUACAACUGAAUCAAUCUGGAUUAAAGUCUAAAUAUGUAAUAUGAGGAUUAUCAUGUUUGUUAUGGGAUAGCUAUGGG